This 3539-nucleotide long non-coding RNA is filed under the name Homo sapiens (human). RNAcentral's name for it is "HSALNT0360401". The record is from RNAcentral. Lineage: Eukaryota; Metazoa; Chordata; Mammalia; Primates; Hominidae.
GCACAGGCCGGCCCUCUCGCGGGACUCAGUUUCCCCGUCUGCGCGCCCCACAUAUUCGCUUUCCGCAGGUUCUCUCGCUGAGAUUCGCGUCCUUCAAACUAAUGGAACUUUGCAAGGGGGCCCUGCGGCGGCUUCGCGUGGGAGCGCCGGGGAAAGUUCCUGCAAAUCGCCGGACUGGGGGCCCGCCCGGGAAGCUCGGACUGGGCCGGGCAGGGACUGCAGGGGCCUCUGCGCAGACCCGGGGCGUUGCGGCACCGCGGACCCCGGUCACGCGCUGGUUCUGCCCCCGGUACCCCGCACGCGGGACCCUGACCGCGGGGCCUCUGCGGCCGGACGAAGGCAGCGUCCGCGGAGCUGGCAGAAAGCCCGCGCCCAGACCCACAGUGAAGUGAUAAAAGCAGAGAGCAGAAAGGAGAAAACUGAGGGCCAGAAAGGGUGACUCCCCUGAGUGUCAUGCCACAAGUUGAGUGCUGGAGCCAGGACACCUUCCAAACCGGCUGUGCCUGCCUGCAAGCCCCAUCCUCCUCCAUCCCCCUGAGCAGCCAGACUGCAGAGGGAAUGAGCGGACCGAAAACAGUGUGGCCGCAACUUCCCCACUGCUUUGCGGGAGGUGGAGGGAGUUUCUAGGCUCUUUCCCUGUUGGGGAAUUAAGUAGCUGGGGAUCCCACUGAGUCUCCACCACCCUCUCACCCAUUUUCCACCCCUCCCCCACCACAUAUACAUUCUGCUCCCCCAGUGCCAAAUAACUUGCAUUUUCUGGAACACACCUGUCUGCUUACGGUCUCUGUGCCUUUCUUUGCCCACAUCUCCCCUCUUCUUGAAACACCCCUCCUCCCCUCCAGCGUGGGCUCAUGUGACCUAGAGAAGCACGUGGGAGCCCUGUCAUCUGGGGGACUUGGGUUCAAAUCCCACUUCUGGUCCUUAAGUCUGUGACUCUGGGCCUUUGUUUAAUAACUGGAGGAGUUUCAUUAGGAAAAUGGCAGUGACCACAUAUGUCCCUGGAGUGACUGAUGUGCCACCCACAAGCUUCUAUUUGGUCAGUGCUGGGUCCCAUCGUCCCAUCUAGCAUGCUCCUCUUCCAUCCUCGUGCCCCCACUCAGUGCCAUUGUCUCUGCCUCUCACCCUCUGUGCUGCUAUUCCUGCCCUCAUCACCUCCUCCCUAGGGCAGAGGCCCCGUCUUCUUUACCAUGCCCCAGUGCCAGCACAGUGCUUUGGCAAGUUAUUCAGCACUGGGGGAGUAGAGUGUAUGUGUGGUGGGGGAGGGGGUGGAGAAUGGGUAAGAGGGUGAUGGAGACUCAGGGGGACCCCCAGCUACUUAAUACCCCUGAGGAAGUGUCGGCCGAAGUGGACCCACUCCUGUGACAGUUCACAGCCUAGAAGAGGCGUCUGUAACCACGGUGACCAGUAAGUGCCAGCCCUGGGGCCACGUGGCUGUUCUAGAGAAGGAAGACAGCACUACCCUGAGAGCCAUGCUGGUGGCUUCAUCAGGAAGGGAGUCAGCAGGGGGAGGACUGGGGGACCAAGCGGUCCCUAAGAAGCAGAAUUUGCAAUACCCAAGGUUUUAGAAAGAGCAACCUGGCAGGGCCACUGCACAAUGAGAUCACAGACUCACCUCCCAGCUGUGAGUGCAGCUCACCCCACCUGCUCUGACCCAGGCACCGGUUAUGAAGAAGACAAGCAGCUCUACAGAGGGGCCUCAAGAAAUCCUUCGAAACAGAAAUCAAAGUCUUGCUGGAAGGGUUCUGGGCACCCUGGACUGUCCACAUGGGAGGCUGUUGGUGCGUGUGCCUACGUGUGUCCAUCAGUGGAUGCACGAAGAAGGAAAUGAAUUGAUUCCAUUCUUGAUGUGACUUUCAGCUGUCAGCUGUCUGCACUCCCAGACGGGGUGAUGGCCUGGCACCAACGGAGCAUUACCCUGAUGAAUCAUGGUCGAGGGAACAAUUACCACCUUGAGGAAGGAGGCCUGAAAGCUAAGUCUUUGCUAUUGCAUCCGCCUUCUUCUCACGAAGACCUGCAGCUUGAAAGGAGGGGAGGGAGAAAUAGCCCUAAGCUCCAGGAAGACCAAGCCCAGCCUCUGUGAUGAUUCCGAGGAAAUUCAGGAAAUCCUUGCUAAUGGCCAAACUUCCCGGGUUUGAGAUGCAAAAGGAAAUCAGAUCGCAGGGUAAUGCUUUUACACUAAGCAAGAAAUUGCAGGAUAUAAAGCUGUGCAGACCAUUGCCUCUGAUUAAGAAAGCGAUUCUGAGAUUCCAGCCUGGAAGGAACCGGGCCCCAGUGUUAACUGUGGUUAAUUCUGGGUGGAGGGGUGAUGGGUGAUAAUUUCUCCUUUUUCUUUUCUGUACUAACCAUUAAUACUGGGGGGAUGGGCAGUUAAAAAUCAAAGGAAGAAAACAUAAAGAAAGCCAAAUCCUUUUCCAUCUGUAGCCAUUCAAGCUACUGCCUGGACACGCUCUCCUUGAAGCUGGGGCUCCUCUCUCAGCCCCACCUAACAUGGCCCACCUCCUUCCUGGGGUCACUCCGUGUUCCUCAAGCACUUCAAACUCAUCCUCUCCUGCCUCUGAGCUGAGCAUAUGGGCCUCUCCCCUUCCUUUAAAAGCUCCAUCCGUGACUGCCUUCUGGGGGUCAGCCACAUAGCUGAGUGAGGACCACAUGCUUCACACCAAAUGAUACAAGAAGCUUGUUCCAAAUCUAUGUGGGUUUUUUGACAUUUUAGAGAGCAGAUGCUUUCCCAUGCUUUCUAAUUCCCUAUUACAUCUAUACAUCUCUUUUAAAAGAUCCUGCAAGUCCUUUUAGUGUCUGGACACAGGUUAUUCCCUCCCUUUCUUUUUUCCCAAUUUCACCUGCCCCAGUCCUCCUGGUCAGUGCUUCUGUUUCCUGCACAAGGAAACAGCCUUGCAAACAUGGUGAACCCUGAAAGCAUGCUGGAAAUGAAAGAAGCCAGGUACAAAAGACAACAUACUAUAUGAUUUCAUUCACAAGAAAUGUGUGUAACAGAAAAAUUUACAGAGACAGAAAAUAAAUUCCUAGUUGCUUAGGGCUGGGAGAGUGGGGUGAGGCCUCUCUACAGAGAUGGCAAUGCCCAGGAUUCAAUCUGAAGAUGUUGUUUAGAUAUCACAGCAUAGUCGGACAAUAGUGAGGACAGUCUGGCAUUGGCGUACAGAUGAACAAAUAGAUUUGUGCAAUAGAAGAAGCCAAACCAGAUUCCAGCCUACCUCCAGUCACCUGAUUUAACAAAGUCAAAGUCACAAAUCAAUAGGGAGAGGAUGGUCUUUUCAGUAAAUGAUACCGUAUCAAUUGACUCGUCAUAUACAGAACAAAAUGAACUUUGGUCCCAUACACACACAAGUCAUAAAAGUUCACUCAAAGUGAAUGAUAGACCUACAUUUGAAAACAAAAGCAAUGCAGGAUCCAGGAGAAAGGGUCCAGGCAGGAGAAUAUUUUUAUGACCUUGGACUAAGCAAGAGAUUCAUAAACAGGACACAAAACCACUAACCACCAAAAAAAAGGACUGAUAAACAUGACAAUUAAAAUGAAGAAUUUAU